AUUGAACGCUGGCGGCAUGCCUUACACAUGCAAGUCGAACGGUAACAGGUCUUCGGAUGCUGACGAGUGGCGAACGGGUGAGUAAUACAUCGGAACGUGCCCGAUCGUGGGGGAUAACGAAGCGAAAGCUUUGCUAAUACCGCAUACGAUCUACGGAUGAAAGCAGGGGACCGCAAGGCCUUGCGCGAGCGGAGCGGCCGAUGGCAGAUUAGGUAGUUGGUGGGAUAAAAGCUUACCAAGCCGACGAUCUGUAGCUGGUCUGAGAGGACGACCAGCCACACUGGGACUGAGACACGGCCCAGACUCCUACGGGAGGCAGCAGUGGGGAAUUUUGGACAAUGGGCGAAAGCCUGAUCCAGCCAUGCCGCGUGCAGGAUGAAGGCCUUCGGGUUGUAAACUGCUUUUGCACGGAACGAAAAGACUCUGGUUAAUACCUGGGGUCCAUGACGGUACCGUAAGAAUAAGCACCGGCUAACUACGUGCCAGCAGCCGCGGUAAUACGUAGGGUGCAAGCGUUAAUCGGAAUUACUGGGCGUAAAGCGUGCGCAGGCGGUUAUAUAAGACAGAUGUGAAAUCCCCGGGCUCAACCUGGGAACUGCAUUUGUGACUGUAUAGCUAGAGUACGGCAGAGGGGGAUGGAAUUCCGCGUGUAGCAGUGAAAUGCGUAGAUAUGCGGAGGAACACCGAUGGCGAAGGCAAUCCCCUGGGCCUGUACUGACGCUCAUGCACGAAAGCGUGGGGAGCAAACAGG
Molecule: ribosomal RNA, 751 nt
Filed under: uncultured Comamonadaceae bacterium
Lineage: Bacteria; Pseudomonadati; Pseudomonadota; Betaproteobacteria; Burkholderiales; Comamonadaceae
Description: bacterial SSU rRNA
Rfam family: Bacterial small subunit ribosomal RNA
Source: RNAcentral